RNAcentral lists this ribosomal RNA (565 nucleotides) under Streptomyces sp. 419C09. Its description in RNAcentral is "bacterial SSU rRNA". It matches the Rfam family "Bacterial small subunit ribosomal RNA", at positions 93 to 671 of the family's 1533-position model. The record is from RNAcentral. Lineage: Bacteria; Bacillati; Actinomycetota; Actinomycetes; Kitasatosporales; Streptomycetaceae.
CAGUGGCGAACGGGUGAGUAACACGUGGGCAAUCUGCCCUGCACUCUGGGACAACACCGGGAAACCGGUGCUAAUACCGGAUACGACGUACCUCGGCAUCGGGUGUGCGUGGAAAGCUCCGGCGGUGCAGGAUGAGCCCGCGGCCUAUCAGCUUGUUGGUGGGGUGAUGGCCUACCAAGGCGACGACGGGUAGCCGGCCUGAGAGGGCGACCGGCCACACUGGGACUGAGACACGGCCCAGACUCCUACGGGAGGCAGCAGUGGGGAAUAUUGCACAAUGGGCGAAAGCCUGAUGCAGCGACGCCGCGUGAGGGAUGAAGGCCUUCGGGUUGUAAACCUCUUUCAGCAGGGAAGAAGCGCAAGUGACGGUACCUGCAGAAGAAGCACCGGCUAACUACGUGCCAGCAGCCGCGGUAAUACGUAGGGUGCGAGCGUUGUCCGGAAUUAUUGGGCGUAAAGAGCUCGUAGGCGGCCUGUCGCGUCGGAUGUGAAAGCCCGGGGCUUAACCCCGGGUCUGCAUUCGAUACGGGCAGGCUAGAGUUCGGUAGGGGAGAUCGGAAUUCCU